AAGUCGUAACAAGGUUUCCGUAGGUGAACCUGCGGAAGGAUCAUUAGCGAGAUUGCCGUGCGCGCCAGACCCGCAAGGUUUGUGCGCGUGCGAGCAAGCGCCAUCCUUGUGUUAUGUGUGUGAUGUCGCAUGUGCCCACACUUCUCUCGGGGGGAGUGAGCACGUGCGCACAUUUUUUUCACCCAUUAUUAUUCGCAUUUUAUUCUAAUCCACUGCUCAUACGAGCACAAACAACCGAAAACUGCCAGCAAUGGAUCACUCGGUUCUC
RNAcentral lists this unclassified non-coding RNA (268 nucleotides) under fungal sp. Its description in RNAcentral is "partial internal transcribed spacer region". The stretch from base 1 to 46 matches the Rfam family "Eukaryotic small subunit ribosomal RNA", at positions 1786 to 1831 of the family's 1831-position model. The record is from RNAcentral. Lineage: Eukaryota; Fungi.